AUUGAACGCUGGCGGCAGGCUUAACACAUGCAAGUCGAACGCGUGGCGGACGGGUGAGUAAUGUAUGGGGAUCUGCCUGAUGGAGGGGGAUAACUACUGGAAACGGUAGCUAAUACCGCAUACCAUCAGAUGAACCCAUAUGGGAGUAGCUUGUAGGUGGGGUAACGGCUCACCUAGGCGACGAUCCCUAGCUGGUCUGAGAGGAUGAUCAGCAACACUGGGACUGAGACAGGGCCCAGACUCCUACGGGAGGCAGCAGUGGGGAAUAUUGCACAAUGGGCGCAAGCGUGAUGCAGCCAUGCCGCGUGUAUGAAGAAGGCCUUCGGGUUUAAAAGUACUUUCAGUCGGAAGGCGUUACCGACAGAAGAAUCACCGGUUAAUUCCGUGCCAGCAGCGGCGGUAAUC
RNAcentral lists this ribosomal RNA (405 nucleotides) under uncultured bacterium. Its description in RNAcentral is "partial 16S ribosomal RNA". It matches the Rfam family "Bacterial small subunit ribosomal RNA", at positions 30 to 525 of the family's 1533-position model. The record is from RNAcentral.